ACUCCUACGGGAGGCAGCAGUAGGGAAUCUUCGGCAAUGGACGAAAGUCUGACCGAGCAACGCCGCGUGAGUGAAGAAGGUUUUCGGAUCGUAAAGCUCUGUUGUAAGAGAAGAACGUGUGUGAGAGUGGAAAGUUCACACAGUGACGGUAACUUACCAGAAAGGGACGGCCAACUACGUGCCAGCAGCCGCGGUAAU
Molecule: ribosomal RNA, 198 nt
Filed under: uncultured bacterium
Lineage: Bacteria
Description: partial 16S ribosomal RNA
Rfam family: Bacterial small subunit ribosomal RNA
Source: RNAcentral